Molecule: ribosomal RNA, 930 nt
Filed under: uncultured organism
Description: bacterial SSU rRNA
Rfam family: Bacterial small subunit ribosomal RNA
Source: RNAcentral
AACGCUGGCGGCGUGCUAACACAUGCAAGUCGAACGAAGCCCUCGGGCUUAGUGGCGGACGGGUGAGUAACGCGUGAGAAUCUACCUCCGAGAUGGGGACAACCGUUGGAAACGACGGCUAAUCCCCAAUAAGCCGAAAGGUGAAAGGGUUUCCGCUCGCAGAGGAGCUCGCGUCCGAUUAGUUAGUUGGUGGGGUAAGAGCCUACCAAGGCAGCGAUCGGUAGCUGGUCUGAGAGGAUGAGCAGCCACACUGGGACUGAGACACGGCCCAGACUCCUACGGGAGGCAGCAGUGGGGAAUUUUCCGCAAUGGGCGCAAGCCUGACGGAGCAACGCCGCGUGUGGGAAGAAGGCUCUUGGGCUGUCAACCACUUUUCUCAGGGAAGAAGUCCUGACGGUACCUGAGGAAUCAGCCUCGGCUAACUCCGUGCCAGCAGCCGCGGUAAUACGGAGGAGGCAAGCGUUAUCCGGAAUUAUUGGGCGCAAAGCGUCCGCAGGGGGCACUUCAAGUCUGCUGUCAAAGGCCGGAGCUUAACUCCGGUUCGGCAGUGGAAACUGGAGUGCUAGAGGGCGACAGGGGUAGAGGGAAUUCCCAGUGUAGCGGUGAAAUGCGUAGAGAUUGGGAAGAACACCGGUGGCGAAAGCGCUCUACUGGGUCGCACCUGACCCUCAGGGACGAAAGCUAAGGUAGCGAAAGGGAUUAGAUACCCCUGUAGUCUUAGCCGUAAACGAUGGAUACUAGGCGUGGUUUGUAUCGACCCAAGCCGUGCCGAAGCUAACGCGUUAAGUAUCCCGCCUGGGGAGUACGCACGCAAGUGUGAAACUCANAGGAAUUGACGGGGGCCCGCACAAGCGGUGGAGGAUGUGGUUUAAUUCGAUGCAACGCGAAGAACCUUACCAGGGCUUGACAUCCCGGGAAUCUUGCUGAAAG